UAGCCGUAAACGAUACUCGCUAGGUGUCGGCCACGGUGCGACCGUUGUCGGUGCCGUAGGGAAGCCGUGAAGCGAGCCACCUGGGAAGUACGGCCGCGAGGCUGAAACUUAAAGGAAUUGGCGGGGGAGCACCACAACGGGUGGAGCUUGCGGUUUAAUUGGAUUCAACGCCGGAAAUCUUACCGGGACCGACAGCAACAUGAAGGCCAGGCUGAAGACUUUGCCGGAUUAGCUGAGAGGAGGUGCAUGGCGUAGUCGUGU
This 261-nucleotide ribosomal RNA is filed under the name uncultured archaeon. Its description in RNAcentral is "partial 16S ribosomal RNA". It matches the Rfam family "Archaeal small subunit ribosomal RNA", at positions 748 to 1009 of the family's 1478-position model. The record is from RNAcentral.